UACGGAGGGUGCAAGCGUUAUCCGGAUUCACUGGGUUUAAAGGGUGCGUAGGUGGGAAAGUAAGUCAGUGGUGAAAUCUCCGUGCUUAACACGGAAACUGCCAUUGAUGCUAUUUUUCUUGAAUUUUCUGGGGGUCAGCGGAAUAUGUCAUGUAGCGGUGAAAUGCUUAGAUAUGACAUAGAACACCAAUUGCGAAGGCAGCUGACUACAGGGAUAUUGACACUGAGGCACGAAAGCGUGGGGAUCAAACAGG
This 253-nucleotide ribosomal RNA is filed under the name uncultured bacterium. RNAcentral describes it as "partial 16S ribosomal RNA". It matches the Rfam family "Bacterial small subunit ribosomal RNA", at positions 524 to 776 of the family's 1533-position model. The record is from RNAcentral.